CCUACGGGUGGCAGCAGUGAGGAAUAUUGGUCAAUGGACGAGAGUCUGAACCAGCCAAGUAGCGUGAAGGAUGACUGCCCUAUGGGUUGUAAACUUCUUUUAUAAAGGAAUAAAACGAGGCACGUGUGCCUUUUUGCAUGUCCUUUAUGAAUAAGGAUCGGCUAACUCCGUUCCAGCAGCCGCGGUAAUAAGGAGGAUCCGAGCGUUAUCCGGAUUUAUUGGGUUUAAAGGGAGCGUAGAUGGGUUGUUAAGUCAGUUGUGAAAGUUUGCGGCUCAACCGUAAAAUUGCAAUUGAUACUGGCAGUCUUGAGUACAGUUGAGGUAGGCGGAAUUCGUGGUGUAGCGGGGAAAUGCUUAGAUAUCACGAAGAACCCCGAUUGCGAAGGCAGCUUACUAAACUGUGACUGACAUUGAUGCUCGAAAGUGUGGGUAGCAAACAGGAUUAGAUACCCGAGUAGUC
This 460-nucleotide ribosomal RNA is filed under the name uncultured bacterium. Its description in RNAcentral is "partial 16S ribosomal RNA". It matches the Rfam family "Bacterial small subunit ribosomal RNA", at positions 338 to 795 of the family's 1533-position model. The record is from RNAcentral.